ACCCAAUAGAUACCCGGGUAGUCCACGCCGUAAACGAUGGAUGCUAGCUGUGUGGAGUAUCGACCCUCUGCGUAGCAAAAAGCUAACGCGUUAAGCAUCCCGCCUGUGGAGUACGAGCGCAAGCUUAAAACAUAAAGGAAUUGACGGGGACCCGCACAAGCGGUGGAGCGUGUUGUUUAAUUCGAUGAUAAGCGAAGAACCUUACCCAGGUUUGACAUCCUGCUAAUCUUUCCGAAAGGAGAGAGUGCCUUCGGGCCGCAGUGACAGGUGCUGCAUGGCCGUCGAAAGCUCGUGUCGUGAGAUGUUUGGUUUAGUCCAUCAACGAGCGCAACCCCUGUAGUUAGUUGGAUUUUUCUAGCUAGACUGCCUCGGUAACGGGGAGGAAGGAGGGGAAGACGUCAGGUCAGUAUUGCCCUUACACCUGGGGCUACAAACACGCUACAAUGGCCGGUACAAAGGGCUGCCAACCCGCAAGGGGAGCAAAUCCCAUCAAAGCCGGUCUCAGUUCGGAUUGCAGGCUGAAACUCGCCUGCAUGAAGCU
This 541-nucleotide ribosomal RNA is filed under the name uncultured bacterium. RNAcentral's name for it is "bacterial SSU rRNA". It matches the Rfam family "Bacterial small subunit ribosomal RNA", at positions 772 to 1327 of the family's 1533-position model. The record is from RNAcentral.